CCCGAUGUUGGGAUUAGUGUCCAAAUAAGAGAAGGAAGAGACCAGAGCUUAUUCGUACUAUGACAUAUAGAUAGUGCACUGCAAGAAGAAGGUGGCCUCUGCCAGCCGGAAGACAGCCCUCACCAGAACCCAACCAUGCUGGCACCUUUAUCUCAGACUUCUAGCCUCCAGAGCUGUGAGAGAUAAAUGUCUGUUGGUUAAGCCCCCAAGUCUAUGGUAUUCUGUUGUAUCAGGCUAGGGCAGACACAGGCAUUCCUACACCCAGACAUGUGGAUGGUUUCUUGAUAUAUCACCUGUGACUCUUUCUAGGGCCUUCUCUAGCCCUGGAAGCAUGCUUGGCUUGGCCAGUGCAGGGCUCAGCAGAAGUAUUGAAGGGUUAGUGCCUUUGGGACAGCCCUAAACAGUGACAGGCAGGCAUCAGUGGACGGAGCCCCCCACCCUACUGCUGACCCGGCAGUAGACAACUCUGAGACCUGCUUCCCUCUGUCUCCCAGCAAGCUUGAGGCCACUCUGCCAGCCCCUUCCCCUCCCUGCCUCAUCUCUCCACCCUGCUCCCGAUGCUUCCUGGGAUCACCUCCCAAACAAACUGCUGUCAUUCAAAUCUUUCUCUCAGGGUCUGCUCUUGAGGGCCCCAGUCUAAGGCAUGGGCAUUUGAAACCUAUGAGGGAAGACUCACUUCUUGCAGGGCAGGAGAAGAGGGCUUAGCUCAAUUUUUAGAUGAAAUCUCUCCUUGUGACUUUUUUUUCAAACGAUAAUGCAUGUAUAAAAGGGAAAAUAAAAUACAUGUAGUAUUCUUUGUAAGUUGUGAAUGAGUCCUUUGAAACCAUUUUUCUAAUUUCGUGAUUUUCCUGAUACGUGUUUCCUGAGAGGAGCUGUAAUGAAAAAGUAGUCAGAGUGGUUGGAUGUCAGGUGAAGUUUGUUAGGUGAGUAUUUAACCUAGUCAUUCUUUCCACAUUGCUAUUGGCCACCAAAUAAGACUUUUUAUUAUUCUUGAAGAACGGUGAUUCAAUACCCUUAGACUUACUGUCCUCUGCCUUCCCCACCCUUCCACCCACAUUCAACUCAGUGAGGAGGCCCACAGUGCCGGCCGCUCCAUUCACAGGCUCUGCCACUGGGUGUGCCAGACUGGAGGCUCUCAUUGCCCCAUGGAGAAUUUUCACACACUUCCUCAUGGCCAGCUGUGACUGCUGACGGGGGGCGCACUUUUGAUAGAGGAGCUCCCAACUGGGCAUGGAUCAGAGAGCAGGCCCUGGAGAGCAGACCAAGAUCAGGUCACUGGUAAGCUGCCCACUCCCUGAAGGGAGGGAAGAGAGGGUUGCUGAGCCUCCAAGGAAGGAGGACCCUGAAGAAGCUCCUGUGGUUUCUCCUUGGCUCACCCCUGCCCAGCCAGAACUUUGGGCAGCUUCUAGGUGGACUGCCCUGAGCCAGCACAGGGCCCUUUGGGUCCUGCCCCAUCCAGGGCUAAGCCUCCAGUGUGUCUUCCCCAGGGGCCCAGCUGGGGCCACCAUGUGGGCUGGCGUGGAGACCCCUGACAAGAAACCACCUCCACCAGAGAGCCAGGCCCAGUGGGAUCUGUGUAUCCAUGUUGCUUCAUUCAGCCAAUUGAUGUUCAUAUUACAGAGAACUGAAAAUCAGAAUGCCUGGAUUCAGAACCCAAGCCUGUCACUUACUGACGUGGUGCUCUUGGUGGAAUAGGUGCACUCCCUGGCCCUUGGUGGCCUCAUGCAUGGGGUGGCAGUGAGGCAGGAGAACGGAGCUGGGUUGAGAGAACCCAGUGCAGAUGCAGAUGAUGCUCAUGGGGUGCCUUUCACUUCCUUCCUAUGCUUCCUCCGUCCCUUGUUAUUGAUCACGGAGGAAGCUUGUGAGGCAGGAAGUAAAGAGGUAACUGGAUGCCACAUACCUGUACCCCCUCUACCCCUCAUUGAUGAUUGGGGACCUCAAGCGGUUUCCACGUGUGAUUCUUCUGCUUGGCACUGCCCUUGUUUCCCGUGGGUGAUGGCUGUUGGGAUUGAUAAAUUAACUCAGCAUCCCAUCUAUAGCUUCCAGCUCUGGGACUAGGAGAACAAUAGGAGAGGUGACCUUUGAACCCUAGGACUGGGGAGUGCCAAAACGCC
This 2114-nucleotide long non-coding RNA is filed under the name Macaca fascicularis (crab-eating macaque). RNAcentral describes it as "lncRNA (ENSMFAG00000064960.1)". The record is from RNAcentral. Lineage: Eukaryota; Metazoa; Chordata; Mammalia; Primates; Cercopithecidae.